UACGUAGGGGGCUAGCGUUGUCCGGAAUCAUUGGGCGUAAAGAGCGUGUAGGCGGUCCGGUAAGUCUGCUGUGAAAGCCCUGGGCUCAACCUGGGAAUGGCGGUGGAUACUGACAAGCUAGAGUGCGGUAGAGGAGGGUGGAAUUCCCGGUGUAGCGGUGAAAUGCGUAGAGAUCGGGAGGAACAUCAGUGGCGAAGGCGGCCCUCUGGACCAGCACUGACGCUGAGGCACGAAAGCGUGGGGAGCAAACAGG
RNAcentral lists this ribosomal RNA (253 nucleotides) under uncultured bacterium. RNAcentral describes it as "partial 16S ribosomal RNA". It matches the Rfam family "Bacterial small subunit ribosomal RNA", at positions 524 to 776 of the family's 1533-position model. The record is from RNAcentral.